This 450-nucleotide ribosomal RNA is filed under the name uncultured bacterium. Its description in RNAcentral is "partial 16S ribosomal RNA". It matches the Rfam family "Bacterial small subunit ribosomal RNA", at positions 354 to 796 of the family's 1533-position model. The record is from RNAcentral.
GUGGGGAAUCUUCCGCAAUGGGCGAAAGCCUGACGGAGCAACGCCGCGUGAGUGAUGACGGCCUUCGGGUUGUAAAGCUCUGUUAUAUGGGACGAACGGGCAUGGGGCGAAUACCCUCAUGCAGUGACGGUACCGUAAGAGAAAGUCACGGCUAACUACGUGCCAGCAGCCGCGGUAAUACGUAGGUGGCAAGCGUUGUCCGGAAUUAUUGGGCGUAAAGGGCGUGUAGGCGGCCAGACAAGUCUGUCUUAAAAGUGCGGGGCUCAACCCCGUGAUGGGAUGGAAACUGUCGGGCUAGAGUGUCGGAGAGGAAAGCGGAAUUCCUAGUGUAGCGGUGAAAUGCGUAGAUAUUAGGAGGAACACCAGUGGCGAAAGCGGCUUUCUGGACGACAACUGACGCUGAGGCGCGAAAGCCAGGGGAGCAAACGGGAUUAGAAACCCGAGUAGUCC